RNAcentral lists this ribosomal RNA (541 nucleotides) under uncultured bacterium. RNAcentral describes it as "bacterial SSU rRNA". It matches the Rfam family "Bacterial small subunit ribosomal RNA", at positions 111 to 659 of the family's 1533-position model. The record is from RNAcentral.
UAACACGUGAGCAACCUGCCCCCAACUCUGGGAUAACUCCGGGAAACCGGAGCUAAUACCGGAUAUGAAGCACUCGGGCAUCCGAUGUGCUUGGAAAGAUUUAUCGGUUGGGGAUGGGCUCGCGGCCUAUCAGCUUGUUGGUGGGGGUUAAACGGGCCCACCCAAGGCGACGACGGGGUAGCCGGCCUGAGAGGGCGACCGGCCACACUGGGACUGAGACACGGCCCAGACUCCUACGGGAGGCAGCAGUGGGGAAUAUUGCGCAAUGGGCGAAAGCCUGACGCAGCGACGCCGCGUGAGGGACGAAGGCCUUCGGGUUGUAAACCUCUUUCAGCAGGGAAGAAGCGAAAGUGACGGUACCUGCAGAAGAAGCACCGGCUAACUACGUGCCAGCAGCCGCGGUAAUACGUAGGGUGCAAGCGUUGUCCGGAAUUAUUGGGCGUAAAGAGCUCGUAGGCGGUCUGUCGCGUCUGCUGUGAAAACUCGGGGCUUAACCCCGGGCCUGCAGUGGGUACGGGCAGACUAGAGUGCGGUAGGGGAG